GAUCAAUUUAUCAUAUGACACGUGUUGAAGGUUGUAAUAUGGUGACAGGUUAAUAGUUCUUCAGGAACUGGCACUGUCCAUUCAUCCCAAUGGAGUAAAUCAUGCAGGAGGUCUGGACGUUCCAGGAGGGUGUUAUAUGGAUUUAAGCCUUGAUCAUGUUGGUCAGUUCUUCUCAUUCUGAGAAAUGGGCUUUGAUUUAAGAUAAUCUUACAUAAGUUGUGCAUACUCUAAUUGUAAAGGAGUUCGCCUGUACAGUAGCACUAUAACAAGAUACAACACAAAUACUGUUUCUGCUCAUUAUGCUGGUUUCUAUAUGAGUUAUCCCUAUUAUUUUUUCUGUUUCAUUUUCUUCUUUAACAAAAGGGUGAUCCAUAUGUUGAUGUGAUGUCUAAAUUGAACAGCUUGAGAAUGCAAUAUCUACUAACUGCCAUUAUUGUUUCCUCUUGUCCUUUGCAGAUUGAGCUGCCCGAUGAGUUGAGAUACGCCAGUGUUGAUGCUGAUCUGGAGGAAGAUAGAACUACGGGAGCGGAACCUCUGAGUCGCUUAUCCAUUCAUCUUUUCAAAAAUUCCCGUCUCUCUGAUCAAAUGACAGGAGACAUUAUUGGAUGU
RNAcentral lists this long non-coding RNA (609 nucleotides) under Oryza brachyantha (malo sina). RNAcentral describes it as "long non-coding RNA (OBRA_LNC001427)". The record is from RNAcentral. Lineage: Eukaryota; Viridiplantae; Streptophyta; Magnoliopsida; Poales; Poaceae.